Molecule: ribosomal RNA, 261 nt
Filed under: uncultured archaeon
Lineage: Archaea
Description: partial 16S ribosomal RNA
Rfam family: Archaeal small subunit ribosomal RNA
Source: RNAcentral
CAGCCGUAAACAAUGUGCGUUAGGUGUGUCGGUAACCACGCGUUACUGAUGCGCCGAAGAGAAAUCGUGAAACGCACCACCUGGGAAGUACGGUCGCAAGGCUGAAACUUAAAGGAAUUGGCGGGGGAGCACCACAACAGGUGGAGCCUGCGGUUUAAUUGGAUUCAACGCCGGACAUCUCACCGGAUAAGACAGCUGAAUGAUUGCCGGGCUGAAGACCCUGCAUGACUAGCUGAGAGGUGGUGCAUGGCGUAGUCGUGU